This 106-nucleotide ribosomal RNA is filed under the name Salmonella enterica. RNAcentral describes it as "partial 23S ribosomal RNA". It matches the Rfam family "Bacterial large subunit ribosomal RNA", at positions 2820 to 2925 of the family's 2925-position model. RNAcentral also lists the same sequence under 5 other names. Lineage: Bacteria; Pseudomonadati; Pseudomonadota; Gammaproteobacteria; Enterobacterales; Enterobacteriaceae. The record is from RNAcentral.
UAGUCUCCUGAAGGAACGUUGAAGACGACGACGUUGAUAGGCCGGGUGUGUAAGCGCAGCGAUGCGUUGAGCUAACCGGUACUAAUGAACCGUGAGGCUUAACCUU